Molecule: unclassified non-coding RNA, 232 nt
Filed under: plant metagenome
Description: partial contains small subunit ribosomal RNA, internal transcribed spacer 1, and 5.8S ribosomal RNA
Source: RNAcentral
UUUCCGUAGGUGAACCUGCGGAAGGAUCAUUACCUAUAUAUGGCCACAGGGCAAGCUUUUCGAGAGGAUUGAGCUUGCUGUGUGAACCCGACCUUCCCUUGCUUUUUCCGUGCCCAUUGUUUCCUCGGCAGGCUUGCCUGCCAGUAGGCCCCUCUUCACCCCUAAGUAAUUGCAAACAGUGUCAGAUACAACCUAAUCGUUACAACUUUCAACAACGGAUCUCUUGGUUCUG